UGGCGGCCUGCCUAAUACAUGCAAGUCGAGCGAAGUUUUUUCUGGUGCUUGCACUAGAAAACUUAGCGGGGAACGGGUGAAGUAACACGUAAAGAACCUGCCUCAUAGACGGGGACAACUAUUGGAAACGAUAGCUAAUACCGGAUAACAGCAUAAAUCGCAUGAUAUAUGUUUAAAAGUUGGUUUCGGCUAACACUAUGAGAUGGCUUUGCGGUGCAUUAGCUAGUUGGUGGGGUAAAGGCCUACCAAGGCGACGAUGCAUAGCCGACCUGAGAGGGUGAUCGGCCACACUGGGACUGAGACACGGCCCAGACUCCUACGGGAGGCAGCAGUAGGGAAUCUUCCGCAAUGGGCGAAAGCCUGACGGAGCAACGCCGCGUGAGUGAAGAAGGAUUUCGGUUCGUAAAGCUCUGUUGUUAGGGAAGAAUGAUUGUAUAGUAACUAUAUACAGUAGAGACGGUACCUAACCAGAAAGCCACGGCUAACUACGUGCCAGCAGCCGCGGUAAUACGUAGGUGGCAAGCGUUGUCCGGAAUUAUUGGGCGUAAAGCGCGCGCAGGUGGUUUAAUAAGUCUGAUGUGAAAGCCCACGGCUCAACCGUGGAGGGUCAUUGGAAACUGUUAAACUUGAGUGCAGGAGAGAAAAGUGGAAUUCCUAGUGUAGCGGUGAAAUGCGUAGAGAUUAGGAGGAACACCAGUGGCGAAGGCGGCUUUUUGGCCUGUAACUGACACUGAGGCGCGAAAGCGUGGGGAGCAAACAGG
This 761-nucleotide ribosomal RNA is filed under the name uncultured bacterium. RNAcentral's name for it is "bacterial SSU rRNA". It matches the Rfam family "Bacterial small subunit ribosomal RNA", at positions 37 to 776 of the family's 1533-position model. The record is from RNAcentral.